UUUGGGGGCACCCUGCUCCGCAAUGCCGCUUUGAGUGAUGAAGGCCUUAGGGUUGUAAAGCUCUUUUACCGGGGACGAUGAUGACGGUACCCGGAGAAUAAGCCCCGGCUAACUUCGUGCCAGCAGCCGCGGUAAUACGAAGGGGGCGAGCGUUGUUCGGAGUUACUGGGCGUAAAGGGCGCGUAGGCGGCGGACCAAGUUAGGCGUGAAAGCCCCGGGCUCAACCUGGGAAUUGCGCUUAAGACUGGUCUGCUCGAGUGCGGGAGAGGUGAGUGGAAUUCCCAGUGUAGAGGUGAAAUUCGUAGAUAUUUGGAAGAACACCAGUGGCGAAGGCGGCUCACUGGCCCGCAACUGACGCUGAGGCGCGAAA
This 370-nucleotide ribosomal RNA is filed under the name uncultured bacterium. RNAcentral's name for it is "bacterial SSU rRNA". It matches the Rfam family "Bacterial small subunit ribosomal RNA", at positions 371 to 758 of the family's 1533-position model. The record is from RNAcentral.